Molecule: long non-coding RNA, 9774 nt
Filed under: Homo sapiens (human)
Lineage: Eukaryota; Metazoa; Chordata; Mammalia; Primates; Hominidae
Description: HSALNT0165965
Source: RNAcentral
GUUUUCCAAUAGGAUGUGUUUGUGCUCCCUCCUACCUGCCUCAUGACACAUUCAUACACAGAGGCAGAAGAGGCAGGCAGAGUUAGAAGCUUUUACUAUGGUGACCAUGUAGGAUAGAGAUUUCUGGGGGCUGUUUCCAGUAAACAGAGUGCCAGCACCCACUAACCUGUAAAUAGCACCUUGUUCAGGGGGAGUGAUAUUCUUUGACUGUAUGAUUUGGGGCCUUGCUGCUCAAAAUGUGGUCAGCAGCAUUGACAUCACCUGGGAUCUCAUUACAAAUGCAGAAUCUCAGACCUCACUCCAGAUGUGCUGGAUGAGAAUGGCCAUUUUCACAAGCUCCCCAGGAUAUGUGUGCCUGUUAAAGUUUGAGAAGCACUGAUCGGAGGACUUCGGUUAUAAUCCCACCUCCUUCUAUAAGUGAUUAAAGAAAAUUCACUUAUACUCUCCUUUGAACAGCUGUAUGCUUCUCAAUUUCUCUCUCUCUCUCUCUCUCUCACACACACACACACACACACACACUUUAUUUUUCAAUCUCUAUAGACUUGCUUCUUUGUAAGGCUCUCAAUUUCUCCUCCCCAGUGACACAAGCUUGCAUGUGGAUAUAGCUCGUCAUGGUGCCUAUUUAUCUUCAACUUUAUGCAACCUUAGCACUCUUUUACUCAGAAACCUUUUGACUGGGAGAGCAGGGCAAACUCAAAUCCCUACAGAGACCAGGAAGGCAGCAUGGAUGAGUGCAGAAAGCUACAUUUGUUUCAGAAAGGAAUCAGUGUAUAUUCUUUCAGCAGACACAUUUAGUUUGUUUCUUAUAAGCCACUAGAAGAGUCAUUACUUUCACAAAGUCAUAUGCUUAUUCCCAUUUUUCAUAAAAUAUGGCCUAUCUUCAGUUUUCCCAGUUUUGAUACAGAAAAAAAUAUAAGAAAGAUUUUCUAUUUCCUAUAACUAUAAAAGCCCACUAAUAGCACCAGCACAGCCACCCCUGGGCUUCACACAGGGAGUGGCAGGAGCUGUGCAGAUGGAGAGUGCAUACUGGUGUGAAGGGGGCAAUGGAUCUCAGCUCCAGCCAUUGUCUUCAUGCAGGAAUUUGGGACCAUUUUACCGGAUCCUCCCAUUUCUUCAAGAGAAGCCGGAAAUCUGGAUUUCUAUGUGAAAUCUCCCACUUUUUUAUGCUGGCAACUAAUUUUCUUUAAACACUGUGCCAAACAAAACAUACCUGCAGGCCAAAAUCUACACCCUCUGGGCUGGAUUUCAAUGUCUCUUAAACUCUCAACAGAGAGCAUCUUACUGUUUCAGUUCAGGGUAGAUGUCUACCCAUGGUCCCAUCGAGUGGGGUCUGGAUAUGGAAUCAGCUAGAAGAAGCAUAGUCUAUGCCCAUUCUUUCAGCAGGGACUGUGGGCAGGAAACCAUUUCCAAAGAAGCAGGCAUGAGUUGGUGGCCAUACAAAUAUAUAUGUUAUAUUGAUAAAUAUAAAAACAGGAGAUUCUGGGGGACCACAAGUUUUUACAAAUUAGGCUUAUUUUAGGAUAAAUUCACCCUUGUUAGUGUGCAGUUCUGUGAGUUUUGAUAUACAUAUGCAGUCAAGUAACCACUCCCACAAUUAAGAUACAGAAUAAUUCCAUCACCCCCCAAAUUUCUUGUAUGCCCCUUUAUAGCUAGCCCCUGACCCUAACCUCUGGCAAUCACUAAUAUAUUCUCUUUUUCUAUAGGCUUGCUUUUUUUCAAAAUGUCAUAUACAUGGAAUCACACAGUUUAUAGCCUUUUGAGUCUGGCUUAUUUUACUCAGCAUAAUGCCUUUGAGCUUUAACCAUGUAAUUUCAUGUAUCAGUAGUUCAUUCCUAUGUAUUGCUAAGUAAUUUUCCACUGUAUAGAUGCACCACAGUUUGUUUAUCCAUUCACCAAUUAAAGCCAUAAUCAACUUCCAUGUAGAAGUUUGUGUGUGAACACAGUUUUAAUUUAUUUGGGGUUACUACCUAGGAGUGAGAUUCUGGGUCUUAUGGUAAGCAUACAUUUUACUAAGAAACUAUAAAACUCUUUUCCAAAGUGGCUGAACCAUUUGACAUUUCUAACAGCAAUAUUUGAAAGUUCCCAUUGCUCUGUAUCCUCUCCAGUACUUACAUGCUCAGCAUUUUGGUUUGGUCUGGUUUCAUUGUUUCUGAGCUCUUCUGAUAGAUGUGGAGUACACCCCCAUUUUGGAUGAAUUGUGCCAAAUGUGUAGACCAUCCUCAAAAUCUAAGGUCUCAGUAAAAACAAUUAAACAUGAUUUCUGAUAUAAUGUCUUAUCCUUGAAAACCCUGACCCAUCCAUCUUCAGCACAUUCACAUGUGUAAUAAGGUAAGUGAUUUUUAAUUCCACCAGGUUUAAAGACCCCUGACGUGACUUAUUGCCAUUCUGCUACUGAGCCUUGAGAGAUUAUGGUAAGUGCCAAGAAAAAAAAAAUGACUUUGAACUGCUCUUUCACCAGUUAAAAAUAACACUGAAACCAAAUGUAAACAUAAAAGAAGUGGUCAGAUUCGGGUUACAUAUUAACGGUGUUUGGUCAGGCUGGAGCUGAGGCACAGCAGCAGAGAAUGCCUUUUACUUAUCACUGUUUCCAAACCUCCCUACCUGGACUAGGCUUGACUGGAUUUACAAGAGACCUUUUGAAAAGAUGCAGAGAAGGCAAGCAGCACACAUUUCCUGGUAAUAAAUUUUAAAGGUUGCUAAAACAUUCCAGAGAUUUUCACUCAACAUUCCUCUGGCCAACACAUCUGCAAUCUGCCAAUCCUUAAAAAUAGGUGUUUUUGCAUUUUAAUCUCACAAACAUCUUUGAAAAUGCAUUUCUUCUCUGCCCCUGUGUUGGACAAAUCCAGCUUUUUCCAUUUUCUAAAAACCACAGAAAUAUAAUGCUGCUUAAUUCAUACAAGACUGAGCUAACUGGAGUUAAAAUAAAAUUUCUGAGAGUUUGUUUGGCUCACUCUUCCCUACCAGAUGAUUCCAUUCUUAAAACGGUCCUGUGAUUAUAUUCUCUCAUUACAGAGGUGUCCAGAAAAAAAAUAAGGAGUGCAGUUCUGAAAUUAUAUAAAAGCAAAAUUAUUACUCUAAACGUAAGAGCUGUGAUAGAUCGUGUCAUUGACCAUGGUUCUUUUCCCCUGACACACACGUCCCCACCACCCACCCACUGUAUCCAUAUGCCUUUUGCCAUAUGACUUUGCAGCUCUCCCCACUAAAGGGGCAGCCAUGCGAUUUGCUUUGGCCAAUGAAAUGAGGCAGUAGUGGUGGUAUCCUAGUUCUGAGCCUAGGUCUCAAGAAGUCUUAUGUGUUUCUGCUUAUCCUCUUAUACCUCUGCCAUCACCAUGAGCCAAACAUCCCCCAAGUAGCCCACUGGUCCCAGGACAAGGAGGGAGACAUGAAGCAGAGCUCAUCCAGCUGCUGCAGCCCCACUUGACCCAGAGACCUACACUGGGAAGCAGAGCUGCCCAGUCAAGUCCAACCUGGAUGUGUGGAACCCCAGCCAACCUGAUGCAUGAGCACUCACGGCAUUGGAAGACAUCAUAAACAUUAAUGGAGAGCGGGAUGCCAGAAUAAGUUGAUCCAAAUGAUGCAGGAAUAUUUAGCAGCAAGGAGAAAGGAAUUCACAUUUCUCAGUACCCACUAUGUGCCAUACUUUGUGAUAAGAUGGUUUCCCUCCAAUAUAUCCUCAUUGUCAGCAAUGUCGGGAAACAGGAAUCAUUUCCCCUUCUACAGGUGAUAAAACUGAAGCAAGAAACAUACAGGCUAACAUCAGCUGAGCUGAGAUUUGAACUCCACUCUUUUUGACCCUGGAGCUGAUGAAUGCUGCUUCUAGAGGUUGAGUAUCCCUUAUCCGAAAUCCUUGGAACCAGGAGAUUUUUGGAUUUGGGAAUAUUUGCAUAUACAUAAUGAGAUAUCUUGGAGAUGGGACCCAAGUCUAAAUACAAAAUUAUUUUGUUGUAUAUACACCUUGUACACAUAGACUGAAGAUAAUUUUAUACAAUAUUUUAAAUAAUUUUGUGCGUGAAACAAAGUUGUGACUAUGUCUUGACUGUAAGACAUCUUGCAUGCAACCCAUCAUAUGAGGUCAGGUGCAGAAUUUUCCAUUUGUGGUGUCAUGUUAGUGCUCAAAAAUUUUCGGAUUUUGGAGCACUUCAGACUUUCGUUUUCCAGACGGGGGAUGCUCAACCUGUCUUAGAACCUGUGGUCUCCCAUCAUGCCUCCCUUCCCCAUUCCCUUGCUCCACUGGGGUCUGAGGUGGGAAAGCAAAAGGAGUUGCAGGUAACCCUCACUUUUCACACCAGGCAAUCUCUCCCCACAAUCUGUCACAUUCCUGAAGAACAAGGAAGCAGAGCACUCCACUGAAGAAAUUCUGUUAAAAUCUAUCCCCAACGUAUAAGCAUCCAUCUUUGUCCCAGUCUGGGUCUAACAUGAACAAAGUGCUUAAACAAUUCAGUAGAGGAGAAAGGGAACUUGGAGCAGCUCUGUCACCCUGAAGUGACACUGCCAUGCUGCAUUUCCUGUCUGUAAUAUCUCUUCAGAGCAAUUGUUUUCUUCUGUGAGGACACUUCAGAGAUUCACAGAGACAGAUGCUCUUGUGACUGACCAUAGCAAGUAUCAAAAGGCCUGGGUGGAAUUACGAAGCAUUUCUCGUGCACUGCGUAUUGGGAAGUGCUUCACAGCUGUGUGGCAGAUGUGAGUGGACAGAGGGGCAAGGGAACUGCCCCAAAGGAGGUGGCAGAGGAAGCAACAAGCCAGGGAUUGGCUGGCCGGUCCCAGCACAGCAACUGCAGCAGCAGCUUGCUAAGUUUCACAGGUGAAGCCAAAGGCUGGGGGGAAUGGAAAACAAAUAUCACUCCAUUAAAUUAAGGUCUGAGGAAAACAUGAUGAGGAAAGUCAAUAGUGAAUCAAAACAUUGAAAAGCCACUAACUUUGACUUUCCAUGUGCGUGUGCAAGUUCACGUGUGCAUGUGUGUCUGCAUGUCCAAGUUCUACACUGAUUCAAGAAAUAAUUAUAGAGGGCCUGCCAUAGGAUGGUGAGCAAAACAGUCUUGGCCUCUGUCCUGAUGGAGCAUGCAGUAUCACAGACUCUAUAUGUUCUAUUUCUAGGCCUUGUAUUUUGAGGAUAUAUGCCAGUGGAAUGAGAAUGGCUCUGUGACCUUGUUUAAGUCCCACCACUGUCUCAGGCAGGGUUUUCCAAAGUGUAGUCCUUAUACUAUUAUGUGGUGAAGAUGCUUAAUUGUUUUGUAAUUAUUUAAUGUGCGUAGGUAUCACAUCAAACCCAGUAUUUUCAAGGAUUUUUAUAGCUUAAGACAAGGCUUGUUAUAGGCAAGGUGGAUCAAUUCAAAAAAUAUAUGCUAACAAAAUAAUAGUGGAGGUGGUACAAAGAAACAGCAAAGGUAGUGAGAUGGCUUCACUGGUGUUUGUGAAUCACCAAGAUAAUGCACGUGGAAAUAAAAAUCAGUGUGGUCCAUAGAAAUACAAGGGGUUCUAAUUACCCCUCAGUGAGCACUUGCUCUCUCACUCACCCCAGCAAUGACAUAUUAAGCAAAGCACUGCCCUGACUGCAUAUGCUCUUGCCGACAACUUGGCCAGCAUUCAGAAGACACUAAGUGUGCUCUGGGAACUUCAGAAGGCACUAACAUUCCAUGGAGAACUUCACAAAGAGUGAGACCUAGUCCCUGGCCUAAAGAGAGUAUAAUUUAGUAGGAAAGAGAAGACAAACACACAAAUAACUGUAAAAUGGGAUAAGCCCCAAAGUGGAGGUACAAAGUCCCAUAGAAGAGGCUCAAUGAUAAGUCACGCCUGCCGGGUAAGGUCAAGAAAGACUUCAUGGAGAUUUGAGAUGGCAUCUGAGAUAAGCCAGGAAAGACGGUAGAAUUUCAACAACCAAAAAAGUGGGGAGAGGGAUGGGAGGCAUUCCAGAGAAGGAGAAAUGCUUGAGCAAUGGUACAGAGACCAGGAAGUUAUAUGAGGGCAGAAAGUCCCUGCUGUCUAUUUAGCUGGGAUAUAGAAUGCAAGUCAGUUAGAUGAUUAGGUGGGGUUAUAACAUAACUAGCCUUAAAUAGUGGACUGAGAAUUUUCCACUUAAUUUAAUGCAAAUGGCAGGGGAGGGGGCAGGCAAUGGAGAGCUGAAAACAGGACUGGAGAUGCGCUGGAGGGAAGUAACCCUGGAAAUGGGUGAAGUACGGGUUACUGUCACCCCAGCUCUGGUUCUUGUUAUUCCCUAGGAGAAGCAUAAUAGAAGUGUGAAUUUAGGGUAGCCAAAUGAUGACUUUGCAGAGGGAAUCUUUAGGACUUGUGACUUGAUUAAAAGCAGGGAGAUGGAUAGGGAACGUCCAAGGAUAACUAGAUAACUAGAGCUCUCCUGUUCCUCUGACUCAUGUGUGCUGAAACUGUAGAGUCAAACAAACACUUGUAAGUGGCGUGAUGUAAAUCCCUUAGGGGCCCAUGCCUGCCUCAAGAGAAGAACGUGUGGUCAGGAAAAACGACCGGGGGAAGUGAAAACGACACAAGACCCAGAGGAUAACCCUUAUUUUAUUCACACAUGCAAAUUUAGGCACAGCAAAAAGCAAAACGAAGUAUACCAAAUGUCAAGGGUUAAUUAUUAAUCAUUUCUAUAUUAAAUUAUGAGUUUUUCAGUAAGACACUUUUUGAUAAGAAACUUGAAUUACGUUCAUAACCAUCAAAAUAAAGAAAAUAAAAGAGACAGAUUUUCUUUGGUGGUGGGAGAACAUUAAGUAUUGUGGAAGCCUGAAAAAUGGUCCCCAAAAGAAUCUGGUCCUAAUCCUUAGAACUUGUGAGUAUUAUCUUACUUGGAAAAAGGGUUGUUUUAAGAUAAGGAUCUUGAGUUGGGAAGAUUGUCCUGAGUUAUUCAGGUAGGCUGUAAAUGCCAUCACAGGCAACCUUUUUACAUGGAUAUUUGACACAGAGUGGAGGAGACACCCAUAGGAGAAGGCUAUGUGAAGACAUAGCAUCGAGACACUUGAAGAUAUUGGCCUUCAAAUGGCACAGCCACAAGCAAAGGAAUGCCAGCAGCCACCAGGAAAAAGCAAAGAAUGGAUUCUCACCUAAAGUCUCCAGAGGGACUGUAGAGUAUCCUGCCAACACCUUGAUUUUGACUCUGUGAAACUGAUGUCAGGCUUCUGGCCUCCAGAACUGUGAGAGAAGAAAUUUCUGUUGUUUUAAACCUUCGAAUUUGUGGUAAUGUGUUAGAGCAGCCACAGGAAACUCAUAUUCUAAACUAGCAACUAUGAAAUGAGAAUUUCUAGUGUUCAGCUAAGAUACCACCGCAGAAGCAGCUGGAUAAUAUCAGAUGAGCCGAAAACUUCUCUUACCCCAUUUCCUUAUCCAUAAAAUUAGCAAAUAAUACCUGUCUUGCAGAGUUAAUUUUAAAGUUAUACAAGUAAAUACACUUUGAAAGUGACAAGUACUAGAAAAAUGUAGGGAAUUAUCCUACAAGUCUGGGUAUCCCCACCACCCAAGGCACAUGAAUGAUGCACAAUAAAAUAUACAAUUGGUUAGAAAUAGAACAAAGUGUUGAAAGUGCUUCAAAGCUCGAAAUGUAGGGCAUGAGGAAUGAAGGAAAUUCAGUUCAGGAAUAAAAUAUUUAUUCAGCAUCACUAAUAAGCCAGGCACUCUGCCAGAACCCAAAGGUAUAAAGAGGAACAAAUGAUAAUUCCUGCCCUGUGGAUGGCUUAUAGUCUAGGGUAGCAUUUUUACAGUGUGUUCACAGACCACUAAGCUCUCAAAUUUCUAUUUAAAGAUGCCAAAGGACCCAAGAUCAAGUGCUAUAUUCUAAUAUCUACCCUCUCCAUUUCCUACCCCCUCCCACAACCACACUUUCUGUAGACUCACAAUGUGUUAGUUAAUUUAAGGCAUUGAGUCCUGUUGUUAAUAAGCUGACUUGCCCUUAAUUAUCACAGGCUUUUCCAAAUUUCCUUGACAUGCACUAACCAUUUAACCUUGGGGAAAAGAAUGGAAUAACAUUCUUGCCUGCCUGUUGUAGCUGUCAUCAUAUUUAAAUGUAAUAAAACAUGGAAAGUGUUUAAUAAUUAUGGUGCUCUAGGCAAAAUAGCAGUCCUUCAAAAAUGCCCAUGCCCUAAUCUCCAGAACCUGUGAAUAUGUUACCUGACAUUGUAAAGCAACCUUGUAGGUGUGAUUAAAGUUACAAGCUCUGAGAAGAGAAAAUUACUCUGGAUUAUCUGGGUGGGCCCAGCUUAAUCAUAUGAACCCUUAAAAGUGGAGAAUGUUUUCCAGCUAAGGUCAGAGAAAGAGACUUGACAAAGGAAGAAGGGUCAUAGGGAUGUGAUACCGCUAGCUUUAGAGAUGAAGGAAGAGGACCACAGCCAAGAAAUGUGGGUAGCCUCUGAACACAAUACAAGGCAAGGACACGGGCUCUCUCCUUGAGCCUCUAGAAGGAGCACAGCCAUAAGGCAUUCUUAAACUAUGUCGCUUACCUUACCUACCUCAUCCACUUACUACUUGUAUGGCUAAUGGCAUGAGGAAGUCACUAAAACUCUCCGAGCCUUCCUGGCCUCCACUUAAAUGGGAGUGGUACCCACAGAGGGUCAGGAGGCUCAAUCAAAUCUCAAAUUCAUUAUCUCUUGCUUCUCAUGCACAAGUCAGUGUCAGCAGGAGGCAUCAGUGCUUCUGCAAAAAUAACUAAUUCAACAUUACUUUGUCAGAUCACAACCCUUCUUUGCUAAAACCUUCCAGAGGCUCCCUGUCUCACUCACAGAACAACCUCAUGGACUUCCUCUGUUCUCAGGAUUCUCAUGACACAAUAUGACCCCAUUUCCUCUGACUAUAGGUCCUUCCUCUCUCCCCCUUCCUGAUGGUGCUCCAGCCAUACUGGCCACCUUGCUGUUCCUGAGGCACACCAGGCAGCUUCCAGCCUCAGGACAUUUGCACUUGCUGUUUUCUCUGCUUAGAGCCCUCUUCCCCCAUAUCCACAUAGCUUGCUCCCUCAACUCCUUUAGAUCUUCAUUCGGCUAUUACCUUCUUCCUGAGGCCUUCCCUAACAACCCUAUGAAAAUUGCAAUACCUGCCAGCCAAACAUUCCCCAUCCUCCCUUCACUUUAAUUUCCGCCAUAGUAAUUUCAUCUUCUCACAUGCUGCAUAUUUAACUGUUUUGUUUACUUUCUUUCCUCCAUUGGAAUAUAAGCUCUAUCAGGGCUUUUCAUGAAGGACAUGCAAGUAGAUGCUUGAUAAAUAUUUGUUGGAUAAAUAAAUCAGUGCAUAUACCAAUCUGAAGUCACAAAAUCAAUAUGAGCAUCACCUUCCACUAAAGACAUAUCCUUUCAGUUAUCGAUGAAAAAUGAAGUUGAAAACACAAUAAUCAGCCUGUCAUUGAACAAUGCAGCUGCAGCUAAGAUCAAGUUCUUGACUGACUUUGCCGAGCCCAACCAAUUCAAAGGAAGAAUAAAAACAUGGUCAAGGGACCCAAGACCCAGCUCUUAUCCCCUACUCAGAGAAAACCCAGAGAGAACCAGCCUUCUGAUGUCUUGUCCUUCCUGGUUUUGACCAACCUCUAAAAACCAUAAGAACAGUUUGUCUCAGUAUUUCAGUACUUCCGCUUCCAGGCCCAGGAAAGAGCAGGAAGUGCAGGGGCGUGUGAAAAUCAAGAAAAAAGAAGAAUUAAACCCGCUACACAUGAAGCGCUCAAAGACUUCCUCUGUAACCUGUUGCAGCACACGAGUUUCAAUGUGCUUUCACUGAGAGCCCAGGGGGACUGUGCUGUCCCCAGAAUUUCGCACCAUGCCCCACACUCUCAAUGAACACUUGUUG